RNAcentral lists this long non-coding RNA (8119 nucleotides) under Homo sapiens (human). RNAcentral's name for it is "non-protein coding BARX1-DT:11". Lineage: Eukaryota; Metazoa; Chordata; Mammalia; Primates; Hominidae. The record is from RNAcentral.
GGCCGACCGAGACCGAGGGAGACUGAGCGGAGCGCACGCCCUGGAAGGAGAGAGCCGGAGAGUUCGGGAGGCAAGACCCCCAGAGACGAGAGUCGGAGGGAUCAAACGACACAGAUGGAGUCUUGCUCUGUCACCCAGACUGGGUACAGUGGCACGAUCUCGGCUCACUACAAACUCCACCUCCUGGGUUCAAGAGAUUCUCCUACCUCAGCCUCCCGAGUAGCUGGGACUACAGGUGCGUGCCAGCAUGCCCAGCUAAUUUUUUGUAUUUGUAGUAGAGAUGGGGUUUCACUGUGUUAGCCAGGAUGGUCUCGACCUCCUGACCUCAUGAUCUGCCCGCCUCUGCCUCCCAAAGUGCUGGGAUUACAGGAGUGAGCCACCGCACCCAGCCGACCCUACUUCUAAUAGUAUGGAGAACGCUAAUAGUCCUUGGCACGAACUGUUUAGAGAAUUAGGCAAAAUAAAUGCAUUUGACACUCCUGAUUCUUCAUUCAUGAGAGGCAAGGAGUUUAGUGACUCUAUACAUAAUACCUUUGACCAUAUGUGGAGAACCAAGGAACAUAAGGAAGCUGGUUGGUUGCUCCUAAGUUCAGAGGACAAAGUGAUGAAAGAAAAUGAUGAAUUCAGGGAUUCUGUCUCCCGGGUUCAGAAGCAGAUACUGAGCCUCAAAUCUGCUAAGAUUGCCCUGAGUAAGAGUCUUAUCUCUUGUAGAGAAAGAGCUGAAAUUGUGGAAAAACAGAUAUAAACUCUUAUCUUGCAAGUGGCUGACCAGCAAUGAAAGACGCAUGUACAGCCUCACCAGGUGUCUCCUGUUAAAGUGAGGGCAUUGAUUGGAAAAGAAUGGGAUCCUGCAACUUGGAAUGGGGACAUGUGGGAGGACCCUGAUGAAGCUGGGGACACUGAGUUUGUAAACUCUGAUGAAACUUUUUUGCCAGAAGAAAUAGCUUCCCCAUCCCCAGUAGUGGCAACAUCCCCUCCCCAACUCAUGCUGCCAUCAGCCUUUCCACCUUUGUCUGAGGAGAUAAACCCUGUACAGCCUGCAGCAACAGUGAUGGCCUCCCCUGAGGCAGUUUCCAGGCAAGAUAAUGUUGAUUCUCCUCGGGAGCCACCCCCAACAUCCCUGUUUGCUUCCAGACCUAUAACUAGACUAAAGUCCUGGCAGGCCCCUAGAGGUGAGAUUUAGAGUGUGACCCAUGAGGAGGUAUGCUACACUCAAAAAGAACUGCUUGGUUUUCUAAUUUAUACAAACAGAAAUCUGGAGAACAGGCAUGGGGAUGGGUAUUAAGGGUGUGGGAUAAUAGUGGGAAGAACACAGAGUUGGAUCAGGCUGAAUUUGCUGAUUUGGGCCCACUAAGUAGGGACUCGGUGUAUUAGUCUGUUUUCAUGCUGCUGAUAAAGACAUACACAAAACUGGGAACAAAAAGAGGUCUAAUUGAACUUACAGUUCCACAUGGCUAGGAAAGCCUCAGAAUCAUAGUGGGCAGUAGAAGGCAUUUCUUACGUGGCAGCAGCAAAAGAAAAAUGAGGAAGAAGCAAAAGCAGAAACCUCUGAUAAACCCAUCAGAUUUCAUGAGACUUAUUCACUAACAUGAGAAUAGCACAGGAAAGACUGGCCCCCAUGAUUCAAUUACCUCCUACUGGGUCCCUCCCACAACACAUGGGAAUUUUGGGAGAUAAACCUCAAGUUGAGAUUUGGGUAGGGGCACAGCCAAACCAUAUCACUCCACCCCGAUCCCUCCCAAAUCUCAUGUCCUCACAUUCCAAAACCAUCCAUGCCUUCCCAACAGUCCCCCAAAGUCUUAACUCAUUUCAGCAUUAACUCAAAAGUCCACAGUCCAACAUCUCAUCUGAGACAAAACAAGUCCCUUCCACCUAUGAGCCUGUGAAAUCAAAAGCAAGCUAGUUACUUCCUAGAUACAAUGGGGGUACAGGUAUUGGGUAAAUACAGCCAUUCCAAAUGGGAAAAAUUGGCCAAAACAAAGGGGCUACAGGGCCCAUGCAAGUCCAAAAUCCAGUGGGGCAGUCAAAUUUUAAAGCUCCAAAAUGAUCUCCUUUGACUCCAGGCCUCACAUCCAGGUCACGCUGAUGCAAGAGGUGGGAUCCCAUGGUCUUGGGCAGCUCCGCCCCUGUGGCUUUGCAGGGUACAGUCUCCCUCCUGGCUGCUUUCAUGGGCAGGCAUUGAGUGUCUGCGGCUUUUCCAGAUGCACAGGGCAGUGAAUCUACCAUUCUGGGGUCUGGAGGACGGUGGCCCUCUUCUCAUAGCUCCACUAGGCAGUGCACCAGUAGGGACUCUGUGUGGGGACUCCAACUCCACAUUUCCCUUCCACACUGCCCUAGCAGAGGUUCUCCAUGAGGGCUCCACCCCUGCAGCAAACUUUUGCCUGGGCAUCCACAUGUUUCUAUACAUCUUCUAGAAUCUAGGUGGAGGUUCCCAAACCUCAAUUCUUGACUUUUGUGCACCUGCAGGCUCAACACUGCCAAGGAACAUAAUGGAAGCUGCCAAGGCUUAGGGCUUCCAUCCUCUGAACCCACAGCCUGGGCUGUACGUUGGCUCCUUUCAACAACUACUGGAGCAGCUGGGACACAGGACACCAAGUCCCUAGGUUGCACACAGCAUGGGGACCCUGGACCCAUCCACAAAACCACUUUUUUAUCCUGGGCCUCCACACCUGUGAUGGGAGGGGCUGCCAUGAAGUUCUCUGAUAUGGCCUGGAGACAUUUUCCCCAUGGUCUUGGGAAUUAACAUUAGGCUCCUUGCUGCUUAUGCAAAUUUCUGCAGCGAGCUUGAAUUUCUCCCCCAGAAAAUGGAUUUUUCUUUUCUAUCACAUAGUCAGGCUGCAAAUUUUCCAAACUUUUAUGCUCUGCUUCCCUUAUAAAACUGAAUGCCUUUAACAACACCCAAGUCACCUCUUGAAUGCUUUGCUGCUUAGAAAUUUCUUCCACCAGGUACCCUAAAUCAUCUCUCUCAAGUUCAAAGUUCCACAAAUCUCUAGGACAGGGGCAAAAUGCCACCAGUCUCUUUGCUAAAACAUAACAAGAGUCACCUUUGCUCCAGUUCCCAACAAGUUCCUCAUCUCCAUAUGAGACCACCUCAGCCUGGAUUUUAUUGUCCAUAUCGCUAACAUCAUUUUAGGCAAAGCCAUUCAACAAGUCUCUAGGAAGUUCCAGAGUUUCCCACAUUUUCCUGUCUUCUUCUGAGCCCUCCAAACUGUUCCAAUCUCUGCCUAUUACCCAGUUCCAAAGUCGCUUCCACAUUUUUGGGUAUCAUUUCAGCAACACCCUGCUUCUGGUACCAAUUUACUGUAUUAGUCUGUUUUCACUCUGCUGGUAAAGACAUACAUGAAACUGGGAACAAAAAGAGGUUUAAUUGAACUUACAGUUCCACAUGGCUGGGGAGGCCUCAGAAUCAUGGCAGAAGGUGGAAGGCACUUCUUACAUGGCAGCAGCAAGAGAAAAAUGAGGAAGAAGCAAAAGCGGAAACCCCUGAUAAACCCAUCAGAUCUUGUGAGACUUAUUCACUAUCAUGAGAAUAGCAUGGGAAAGACCAGGCCCCAUGAUUCAAUUACCUCCCACCGGGUCCCUCCCACAACACAUGGGAAUUCUUAGAGAUAAAAUUCAAGUUGAGAUUAGCGUGGGGGCACAGCCAAACCAUAUCACUCUGCAUUUAAUGUUGCAGCUUGGGGAGUUAAAAAAGGUUCUAAUAGUUUAUUUGCUUGGUUAGCUGAAAUAUGGAUUAAAAGAUGGCCCACUGUGAGUGAGCUAGAAAUGCCUGAUCUCCCUUGGUUUAAUGUAGAGGAAGGGAUCCAAAGGCUUAGGGAGGUUGAGAUGAUGGACUGGAUUAGUCACGUUAGACCUAAUCAUCCCAGCUAUGAGGGUCCAGAAGAUAUACACUUGACUGAUGCCUUGCAAAAUAGAUUUGUGAGGCCAGCACCUGCACCUUUGAAGAGCCCUUUAAUUGCUCUUUUCUGUAUGUCAGAUCUAACAGUGGGAAACACAGUCACUCAACUACAAAAUUUAAAUACAGUGGGAAUAAUUGGAUCCCAAGGUGGCAGGGGCCAAGUGGCGGCACUCAACCGUCAAAGGCAAGGUGGGCAUAGCUACUGUAAUGGACAGAAGCAGCAAAGCAGCAAUCACAAUAGUCUGAAUCAUGUAGAGCUCUGGUAUUGGCUAAUUAAUCAUGGUGUUUUUAGAGGUGAAAUUGAUAGAAAGCCUACUGAAUUCCUACUUUAUGUAAGCAGAAAACUUCUUGAUCAAAUUGACAAAAGACUAAUUUGAAUUAUAAAAACAGAGAAUCAUGGCCCCUCAAUCAAUUCCCAGAUUUGAGCCAGUUUACAGACCCAGAACCCCCUGAAUGAAGGGGAGGCCAGGUCCCCUUGAGGAAGGACCCCACUACAUUGCCAACAAUUUAUGCUGUGAAUCUUUCUCCCAUCCUUCCCCAGGGAGACCUCUGGCCUUUUACCAUUGCAUUGGGGAAAGGGAAAUUAUCAGACAUUUCAGGGACUACUGGACAUUGGCUCUUAGCUGAUGUUGAUUCCAGGGAACCCAAAAUAUCACUGUGGUCCUCCAGUUAAAGUAAAGGCUUAUGGAGGUCAGGUAAUUAAUGGAGUUUUAGCUCAGGUCUGACUUACAGUGGGUUCAGUGGGUUCCCAGGCUUAUCCUGUGGUCAUUUUUCCAGUGCCAGUAUGCAUAAUUGGCAAACUAAGACAUACUUAGCAGCUGGCAGAACCCCAACAUUGGCUCCAGUUCUGAAUCUUGAACUCAGUGGUGGUUACACAAAUCUGCACGUGAUAAAAUGGCAUAGAACAACACACAGUACCAAAGCCAACCUCCUGCUUUCAAUUUCGAUUAACAAUAGCUAAUUAACCCAGCAUGCCCCAAUGGGGCCACGGGGGGGGGGGGGGGGGGUGAAAGGUAUAUGGACCUCUCUCUGUCACCUGUGCAACUUCCUGUCAAUCUAUAUUCAAAACAAAAAGAUUUUUUAAAGGGACAAGAAUAAUUCCCCAAAACAAACAGUGAAACAGUGCCAAUUACAGAUGUAAUAGUUUUGCUCAUGAGUACAAAUUGUUUUGUACAUGAAAUAUUUUACUGAAUUUGAAAUUUUGAAAUUGAAAUGUAUAAUUGUUUUAUUUAUUUUUAUUUAUUUAUUUUUUUGAGACACAAUCUUGCUCUGUCACCCAGGCUGGAGUGCAGUGGUGGUGAUCUCGGCUCACUGCAACCUCCGCCUCCCAGGUUCAAACGAUUCUCCUGCCUCAGCCUCCCGAGUAGCUGGAAUUACAAGUGCCCAUCACCAUGCCUGGCUAAUUUUUAUAUUUUUAAUAGAGACGGUGUUUUGCCAUGUUGGUCAGGCUGGUCUUGAACUCCAGACCUCAGGUGAUCUGCCUGCCUUGGCCUCCCAAAGUGCUGGGAUUACAGGCAUGAGCCACUGAGCUCAGCCAUUUCUUUUAAAACUCUGCUGCUUGUUUAAUUUUUAUUUGUUACUAGACCAUAACAGACCAAUAUAUGGGUUGAAGGCUUUCCCCCUUUAGAGAGUACAUGAUUGUACAUUGAAAGGACUAAUCCAUUAGGCUUUUUUCUAUUCCUUCUCUAAUAGUAUUAUUUAUUUAAUUAUUUUACUGGCAUGAAGUUCAGUAAAAGUUUACCAUUCCAGUUCCUUGCUUGCCAUUAUUAUGAUUAUGAUUGUUACUCAUGUCAUUUCAUAAUUAUUAUUAAAAAAUUUUGCAGUGCACUGAAGGGAGGAUGGGAUAGAGGUCCACGUGGACUGUCAGAUCUGCCAGAUGCUACUGUGGGUGCAAUUGUCCGUGUUAACCAGAAUGAUCUUCCCUGGCACCAGGGUCUGACCCUGGCUCUGCCCAGUGCCCCGCCCCUGCGCCUCUGGACCUGAGUGGUAAAAAUGCAGAGGCCCACACGAUCUUGAGUCAUGAGGAAAAACUCACUCUGCAUUUGGUUCUUAGAAGGAAACACAUGUUGGAAAGCUUUAUCCCCCCAAAAAGAAAACUCAACAGUCUUCAUGCCGACAGGGGUAACUUUAGAUGAUUUGGGACACAAAACCCAUGGAUGCCUGGGGAGAAGCCACGUGGGCCAGAAACCAUCAGGCCUGGGCCAGUGGGAGCCCCAGGAGCAGCCCUGGGUGCAAAAGCUGGUGCUCAGCGCACAGUGUUCCCUUGGUGGGCUCAGGCUCCUUGUGUGUGAAUGGUGCCUGGCGAUGCCUGCCUCCACUGCCACGAUGAGCUCAGUCCCCAUGGCCCUGUGUCAUCAUUGCCACAGAUACACAUUACUGGUCUCCUCCCACACAAGGAAAAUUCAGGGCCACACAAGCCCUAGAGCCCCGAAUGCCACUUUGCAGCUUUGUGGCAUUAGCAAAGCUGCUUCACGGCGGAACCUCGGUUUCCCUGUCUGUGACAGGAAGGCUGGAUUCAAGAGUUCUCAAGGCCCCUGCCAGCCCUGGCAUUAUUGGGGUUUUCACCAUGCAGUGACUUAGGAAUUCAGGCUGGUUCCAUCUUGCACCAUGCAGCCAAACGUGGAUGUGAAGGGGCUGGGCAGCUGCCGCCCAGCAACCACCUCCUGCUGGGGCAGGGGAAGCCCAGUGCUGGUGGACAGCUGGCCGUCCCUACCACUGGACUUCAUUCCAGGCUGAGGGGAUCUCAGGUGUAACCUGCACCAGAAAGAAAAGUGCCACAUAAGGAGAGACACACGGGGGGAACGCCAUGUGACAAUGGAGUUAUGAAGCUGCAAGCCAGGUCAUGCCCAGGAGUGCCAGCAGCCACCAGGAGCUAAGGAGAAAGAGUGGGAUCCAUCCUGCCCUGGACCCUGCAGAAGGGGCACAGCCCUGCUGGUGCUUUCAUUUCAGACUUCUGGCCUCCAGAGUUGUAAAAGAAUAAACUCACUCUGUGGUUCUAAGCUGCCCAGUUUGUGGUAGAUCAUUACAGCAGCCACCGGAAACUAAUACGUGAUUAUAUCAUUAAUAAGUGGUAGUGUCAAACUCAGACUAGUUUGGCUAUAAAAUUUCUGCAAUGCUACUUUGUUGUUUUGGUGAUUUCAAGCAAAUUAUUUCACCUCACUUCUCUAUGCCUCAAUUUCCUUUUCUGUAAAAUGGCAUUACUGAUGAAACUUAUUUCGUGGAGUUGCUGUGAGGUUUAAAUACAGUAGGUGUGGUAUCAGAGGUGAACAUGCCCUUUUCCGAUAAGGUAUUUGCAUGUAUCAUGGUGGGAAAUUUCUUCUGCCUGAAAUCUUCUUAGUUCAGGGAUUCUGAACUAAGGAUUCAGAUUUUCAUCUGCUUUAUUGAAGGGUGUGUAUACUAUAGUUAUUUAGGCACAGGUCUGUUCCUUGUUUGAGGUCUUGAUGUUCAAAAAUUUAAAGUUAGCCUUGAAUACAGGGAAGAUUUUGGUUGCAUGUAUUUCAUUAUGGGGUAUACCUUUGCCCUCUCCAGCACAAAAAAAAUAUUACUAAAAGAAAAUUGAUAAAUUCCUGGCAACAUACAACCUCCCAAGAUUAAAUCAGGAAGAAAUUGAAACCCUGAACAGACCAAUAAUGAGUUCCAAGAUGGAAUCAGUAAUAAAAGACCUACCAACAAAAAGAGCCCUGCACCAGGUGAAUUCACAGACAAAUUCUACCACACGUACAAAGAACAGCUGGUACCAAUCCAACUGAAACUUUUCCAAAAAAUCAAGAAGGAGGGUAAUAUGGUUUGGAUCUGUAUCCCUACCCAAAUUUCAUGUUUAAAUGUAAUCCCCAACGCUGGUGGUAGAGCCUGGUGGGAGGUGAUUAGAUCAUGGCAGUUUCUCAUGGUUUAACAUCAUCCCCCCUUGGUGCUGUGGUCACAAGAGUGAGUGAGUUCUCAUGAUAUCUGGUUGUUUAAAAGUGUGUGGCACCUCCCCUUUCUUCUCUUCCUACUGCUCUGGCCAUGUGGAGUGCUUCAUUCCUUCUUUGCCUUCUGCCAUGAUUGGAAGCUUUUUGAGGCCUCCCCAGAAGCAGAAGCCACUAUACUUCCUGUACAAACUGCAGAACCAUGAUCCAAUUAAACCUCUUUUCUUUAUAAAUUACCCAGUCUCAGGUAUUUCUUUACAGCAAUGGGAGAACAGACUAAUACAGAGGGAUUCCUCCCUAACUCAUUCUAUGAAAC